Molecule: ribosomal RNA, 585 nt
Filed under: uncultured bacterium
Lineage: Bacteria
Description: bacterial SSU rRNA
Rfam family: Bacterial small subunit ribosomal RNA
Source: RNAcentral
CCUACGGGAGGCAGCAGUGAGGAAUUUUCCGCAAUGGGCGAAAGCCUGACGGAGCAAUACCGCGUGAGGGAUGAAGGAUUUUGGUCUGUAAACCUCUUUUCUCAAGAAAGAAGUUCUGACGGUACUUGAGGAAUAAGCAUCGGCUAACUCCGUGCCAGCAGCCGCGGUAAUACGGGGGAUGCAAGCGUUAUCCGGAAUGAUUGGGCGUAAAGCGCCUGUAGGUUGUUUAUUAAGUCCGUUGUUAAAGCCUAGGGCUUAACCCUAGAAAAGCAAUGGAAACUAGUAGACUAGAGUAUGGCAGGGGUAGAGGGAAUUUCUAGUGUAGCGGUGAAAUGCGUAGAUAUUAGAAAGAACACCGGUGGCGAAAGCGCUCUACUGGACCAUUACUGACACUCAGAGGCGAAAGCUAGGGUAGCAAAAGGGAUUAGAUACCCCUGUAGUCCUAGCCGUAAACGAUGGAUACUAGAUGUUGUGCAUUAUGUACAGUAUCGUAGCUAACGCGUUAAGUAUCCCGCCUGGGGAGUACGCUCGCAAGGGUGAAACUCAAANANAUAGAGCGNGAGANGCGAGACGACACGAGGAGAG